CGUCGCCUCUUAUAGGGCCCGAUGGCCCGACUACCCCAGCCCGGUGAACCCCACUUCCCACCCUCGAUCCCCACUCCCACAUCCCACGGCCGCCACGGCCCUCGCCGCCGGCGCGUGUCCCACCACCACCAUCUCCCACGGGCGCCAAGUUCCCUGCUGCAGGCGCGCGCGCCACCGCCACCCCCUCCCACAGGAGCAAUGGUUCCUGCCGCCGGCGCACGCGCCACCGCCACCGCCACCACCUCCCGCAGGCGCCAUGGUCCCUGCCGCCGGCGCGGCGCCACCGUCACCACCUCCCACAGCCGUCGCGGACCCCGCCGCCGGUGCGCGCCCCGCCAUCUCCACCUCCCACAGCCUCCAUGGCCCCGUCGUCGGGGCGCGCCCCGCCACAACCACCGCCGUUGGACGCCGUCGCCGUGCCCCAGUGCCUCCGAGACCUCGUCCGACAUGACCGUUGCAUCCCUGAACUGCCAAGCGCCGCCCACCGCCCGGCUUCUUCCCCUGACCAUCGCCGGCCUCCUGCCCCGGGCAAACCCCUUCUCUUCCUUCCGGGCGCAACCGCGAUCUCCUUCUCAGUUCAAAACGAGCUCUAGCCGAUGUCCAAGUCGAUUCCCAUUCGUGGGACAAGUCCGACUACCUGUGGUACACGACCUAGAGAUUGACCGGAGCGAGCAAUUCCUCAAGUCCGGCCAGUGGCUGCAGCUCACCAUCAACUCCGCCGGCCACUCGCUGUAGGUGUUCGUCAACGGCCAAUCCUUCGGUGCGGAACCUCCCUAGCGCAACGACAGCCUCCUCCGUCCAAGUUGAACUCUGGGCGCCGUCCGAGUAGAGCACUGCGCCUCGUCCAAGUUCCCAUCUAAUGAAUUGAGGCUUCGCCAAGGAACAAGACUGGUAACUAGCGCAAAGGAGACUAUGUCGAGAGGUGGCACUGCUAGACUUGCUGAUGUGUAGUUAUGGCAUAAAAAGGAUGAAAAAAAUGGUGUCUUGUAUGAUUCCAUAAGAUGUACGUAGCAAAUCUUCCCAUGUGGAUCAGUACAACUUAUGUACGGCCUUGAGUUCACAAAUCUUAUAGUAAUCUUUGUAGUACUCUUCGUAACACUUUGUAAAGCAAGAGUAGCCCUUUUUUGUGAGCAACAAUUCAAAGGAAUCUGUUGUAUCAGUUCU
Molecule: RNA transcript, 1164 nt
Organism: Triticum aestivum (bread wheat)
Lineage: Eukaryota; Viridiplantae; Streptophyta; Magnoliopsida; Poales; Poaceae
Exons: 4
Source: RefSeq, a predicted model, not a curated record